Molecule: ribosomal RNA, 433 nt
Filed under: uncultured bacterium
Lineage: Bacteria
Description: partial 16S ribosomal RNA
Rfam family: Bacterial small subunit ribosomal RNA
Source: RNAcentral
AACGAACGCUGGCGGCAUGCCUAACACAUGCAAGUCGAACGAGACCUUCGGGUCUAGUUGCGCACGGGUGCGUAACGCGUGGUAACCUGCCCUUAGGUUCGGAAUCACUCCCCGACAGGGGUGCUCAUACCGGAUAAUGUCUUCAGACCAAAGAUUUAUCGCCUUUGGAUGGGCCCGCGUUGGAUUAGCUAGUUGGUAGGGUAAAAGCCUACCAAGGCGAUGAUCCAUAGCUGGUCUGAGAGGAUGAUCAGGCACACUGGGACUGAGACACGGCCCAGACUCCUACGGGAGGGAGCAGUGGGGAAUAUUGGACAAUGGGCGAAAGCCUGAACCAGCAAUGCCGCGUGAGUGAUGAAGGCCUUAGGGUUGUAAAGCUCUUUUACCCGGGAUGAUAAUGACAGUACCGGGCGAAUAAGCUCCGGCUAACUCCGUG